UGCAUGUGGUGUCUGUGGUAGUGAUUUCAGAAUCUGUCAGCUUUGAAGUUGGUGUUGGCUCUGUCUUGUUGCUUGGAGGUUCAGCAGAUUGUUUUUCAGAUGUCAAAUAUGUGAUGGAUGGACUUGUGAGAGUGCUGAUGGAUGAUUCUUCAUGUGGAUUAGCUUCAAUUGCAGGGACAGAUUGUUGGGAGACAGCAACAUAUGAGGAGAGAAAGAAGCUUGGCAAUCCCUGUGGAGUGGAACGGUUGGAGCUGGUCCUUAGUUGGCAGUAGACAGGUUGUGCAAAGAGUCUAUCAUUGAUUGUUUGAAUUGGAAUUGUUUGUCCCUGCUGAGGAGAAUAAGAAAAGAGAGUUUUUUUGGAUUAUUGUAUAUAUUUCUGAACUAUUGUAAAAAUUUGUUUGUGUAAUUUAGUGAUUCUCACAGAUGCUAUCUGGUCAUAGAUUUGUGUUGCUGUGAGCCCAAUUAUGUUCUCAGCAUAACUGUCUUGAACAAAUGCAUCCAAAUGAGCUGAAUCAUCA
RNAcentral lists this long non-coding RNA (518 nucleotides) under Coffea arabica (coffee). RNAcentral's name for it is "long non-coding RNA (CARA_LNC002460)". Lineage: Eukaryota; Viridiplantae; Streptophyta; Magnoliopsida; Gentianales; Rubiaceae. The record is from RNAcentral.